UAACGCGUGAGGAACCUGCCUUCCAGAGGGGGACAACAGUUGGAAACGACUGCUAAUACCGCAUGACACAUGACCGUGGCAUCACGGACAUGUCAAAGAUUUAUCGCUGGAAGAUGGCCUCGCGUCUGAUUAGCUAGUAGGCGGGGUAACGGCCCACCUAGGCGACGAUCAGUAGCCGGACUGAGAGGUUGACCGGCCACAUUGGGACUGAGAUACGGCCCAGACUCCUACGGAAGGCAGCAG
This 243-nucleotide ribosomal RNA is filed under the name uncultured bacterium. RNAcentral's name for it is "partial 16S ribosomal RNA". It matches the Rfam family "Bacterial small subunit ribosomal RNA", at positions 111 to 354 of the family's 1533-position model. The record is from RNAcentral.